AUCCAAGAUGGCCGCCAGCAUGGGACUUAGUUUAACAUAGGACCCUAUGGGAAAUGCAUACAAAUGACUUCUUCUAGAGAACCACUGAAUGGAAUAAAACCAAACAUUGCAUGAAUGUUCCUUAUGAGUGCUGACCAAGUGUUGUUACUUUGUAGCCGAUCCAUCAUCCAAGAUGGCCGCCAGCAGGGGACUUAGUUUAACAUAGGACCCUAUGGGAAAUGCAUACAAAUGACUUCUUUUAGAGAACCACUGAAUGGAAUAAAACCAAACAUGGCAU
RNAcentral lists this long non-coding RNA (277 nucleotides) under Mytilus galloprovincialis (Mediterranean mussel). Lineage: Eukaryota; Metazoa; Mollusca; Bivalvia; Mytilida; Mytilidae. The record is from RNAcentral.